This 159-nucleotide ribosomal RNA is filed under the name Globisporangium splendens. RNAcentral describes it as "5.8S rRNA". It matches the Rfam family "5.8S ribosomal RNA". From Rfam's summary of the family: 5.8S ribosomal RNA (5.8S rRNA) is a component of the large subunit of the eukaryotic ribosome. The record is from RNAcentral. Lineage: Eukaryota; Oomycota; Peronosporomycetes; Pythiales; Pythiaceae.
ACAACUUUCAGCAGUGGAUGUCUAGGCUCGCACAUCGAUGAAGAACGCUGCGAACUGCGAUACGUAAUGCGAAUUGCAGAAUUCAGUGAGUCAUCGAAAUUUGAACGCAUAUUGCACUUUCGGGUUAUGCCUGGAAGUACGUCUGUAUCAGUGUCCGUA